GUGGGGAAUUUUGGACAAUGGGCGCAAGCCUGAUCCAGCAAUGCCGCGUGCAGGAAGAAGGCCUUCGGGUUGUAAACUGCUUUUGUACGGAACGAAACGGUCCUGGCUAAUAUCCGGGGCUAAUGACGGUACCGUAAGAAUAAGCACCGGCUAACUACGUGCCAGCAGCCGCGGUAAUACGUAGGGUGCGAGCGUUAAUCGGAAUUACUGGGCGUAAAGCGGGCGCAGGCGGUGCUGUAAGACAGGCGUGAAAUCCCCGGGCUCAACCUGGGAAUUGCGCUUGUGACUGCAGUGCUGGAGUGCGGCAGAGGGGGAUGGAAUUCCGCGUGUAGCAGUGAAAUGCGUAGAUAUGCGGAGGAACACCGAUGGCGAAGGCAAUCCCCUGGGCCUGCACUGACGCUCAUGCACGAAAGCGUGGGGAGCAAACAGGAUUAGAUACCCCAGUAGUCC
RNAcentral lists this ribosomal RNA (450 nucleotides) under uncultured bacterium. RNAcentral's name for it is "partial 16S ribosomal RNA". It matches the Rfam family "Bacterial small subunit ribosomal RNA", at positions 354 to 796 of the family's 1533-position model. The record is from RNAcentral.